GUCCCCAUCGUCUAGAGGCCUAGGACAUCGCCCUUUCACGGCGGUAACAGGGGUUCGAAUCCCCUUGGGGACG
Non-coding RNA from Legionellales bacterium, 73 nucleotides. The record is from Rfam. NCBI's taxonomy places the organism in Bacteria, Pseudomonadati, Pseudomonadota, Gammaproteobacteria, Legionellales.